RNAcentral lists this ribosomal RNA (305 nucleotides) under uncultured bacterium. RNAcentral's name for it is "bacterial SSU rRNA". It matches the Rfam family "Bacterial small subunit ribosomal RNA", at positions 338 to 640 of the family's 1533-position model. The record is from RNAcentral.
CCUACGGGGGGCAGCAGUGAGGAAUAUUGGUCAAUGGACGCAAGUCUGAACCAGCCAUGCCGCGUGCAGGAAGACGGCUCUAUGAGUUGUAAACUGCUUUUGUACGAGGGUAAAUCCCGAUACGUGUAUCGGGUUGAAAGUAUCGUACGAAUAAGGAUCGGCUAACUCCGUGCCAGCAGCCGCGGUAAUACGGAGGAUUCAAGCGUUAUCCGGAUUUAUUGGGUUUAAAGGGUGCGUAGGCGGUUCGAUAAGUUAGAGGUGAAAUCCCGGGGCUCAACUCCGGCACUGCCUCUGAUACUGUCGGG